UACGUAGGAGGCGAGCGUUGUCCGGAAUCACUGGGCGUAAAGCGCGUGUAGGCGGAUGACUAAGUCUGCUGUGAAAGCGCCUGGCUUAACCGGGCGAGGUCGGCGAAAACUAGUCGUCUGGAGGCCGGUAGAGGGGGGUGGAAUUCCGGGUGUAGUGGUGAAAUGCGUAGAGAUCCGGAGGAACACCCGUGGCGCAGGCGGCCCCCUGGGCCGCGCCUGACGCUGAGACGCGAAAGCGCGGGGAGCAAACAGG
Molecule: ribosomal RNA, 253 nt
Filed under: uncultured bacterium
Lineage: Bacteria
Description: partial 16S ribosomal RNA
Rfam family: Bacterial small subunit ribosomal RNA
Source: RNAcentral